This 450-nucleotide ribosomal RNA is filed under the name uncultured bacterium. RNAcentral describes it as "partial 16S ribosomal RNA". It matches the Rfam family "Bacterial small subunit ribosomal RNA", at positions 29 to 523 of the family's 1533-position model. The record is from RNAcentral.
AGCGAACGCUGGCGGCAGGCUUAACACAUGCAAGUCGAACGGACCCUUCGGGGUUAGUGGCGGACGGGUGAGUAACACGUGGGAACGUGCCUUUAGGUUCGGAACAACACAGGGAAACUUGUGCUAAUAGCGGAUGUGCCCGUCGGGGGAAAGAUUUAUCGCCUUUAGAGCGGCCCGCGUCUGAUUAGCUAGUUGGUGAGGUAAAGGCCUACCAAGGCGACGAUCAGUAGCUGGUCUGUGGGGAUGGCCAGGCACAUUGGGACUAGCGACACGGCCCAGACUGCGACGGGAGGCAGCAGUGGGGAAUCUUGCGCAAUGGGCGAAAGCAUGACGCAGCCAUGCAGCGUGGAUGAUGAAGGUCUUAGGAUUGUAAAAUCCUUUCACCGGGGAAGAUAAUGACGGUACCCGGAGAAGAAGCCCCGGCUAACUUCGUGCCAGCAGCCGCCGUAA